UCCCAUGCAACGAGGCAGGCUCGUGAUCAAGAUUUCCUACAUAAUCCGAAUCAUAGUGACAAGGGAAAAUUGGAAGCUCGAUGCUCGUAGAUUGAGAAGACACUGUCCACGGUGACCAUAGAGACUCCGAGAUGAGAAACUUCGCCAUAUUCCCGUGGAAGUCCGCGGUCGAACAGAGAAGUCUCGUUAAGAGUACACUUUCCCGAUGGCGCUUGAACGAUUGCAACCGUCCUCUCGUUCGUCUUCCCCAGAAACCUUCGCGAAAGUUCGCUCGCUUUCGGGAAUUCCACUCUAUCAAAGUCGAAAAAGUUCGCAAUAAGUCGGGCCUGCUCCGCGGCGAUUGUAAAUUAUUCGACGACUUGAUGGACGGCCACGUGGCAUGAGUUUCAUUGAUGGACACGAAAUUCGUUCGUCGGCGGUCGACGCGGUUUUCCGAAAAUAGGAAAGUUGGCGUCAAGACGAGUUCAAAGGCCAAUAAAACAAUGAUCUCGACGUGAUGUCGAAGAUGACAAGAUAAAUUAAUAUUAGAAGAAUGUCACAUUUUAAACAUGCAACAAAUUAUUACAAAAACAUUUAUUCAUUCUCCCGAUUCCAAUUAAUCUUCUCUUACUGGGUAUCCAAGUGUGGAUGAAUGUAUUUUUGAGUUAUAAAUCAAUGUAAGUUAACAUUCGCUAUAGCUUAACAUUUAUUUAAAGUAAGUUAAUCUGGCGACUUCCAUACAGUUGGCAAAAUAGUGCCACCGCCGUGUUGGUCAAACGACCGGAUUUAUUUUUAUUUCAUAAUUAUUGAA
Molecule: non-coding RNA, 790 nt
Organism: Megalopta genalis
Lineage: Eukaryota; Metazoa; Arthropoda; Insecta; Hymenoptera; Halictidae
Source: RefSeq, a predicted model, not a curated record